Molecule: ribosomal RNA, 914 nt
Filed under: uncultured marine archaeon
Lineage: Archaea
Description: bacterial SSU rRNA
Rfam family: Archaeal small subunit ribosomal RNA
Source: RNAcentral
UUCCGGUUGAUCCCGCCGGACCUGACUGCUAUCGGAUUGAUACUAAGCCAUGCGAGUCUUUGUAGUAAUACAAGGCAGACGGCUCAGUAACGCGUAGUCAACCUACCCUAUGGACGGGAAUAAUCUCGGGAAACUGAGCAUAAUACCCGGCGUACCACUAUUCCUGGAAUGGUUUGUGGUUAAAAUGAUUCGUCGCCGUAGGAUGGGACUGCGACCUAUCAGCUUGUUGGUGAGGUAAAGGCCCACCAAGGCGAUUACAGGUACGGGCUCUGAGAGGAGAAGCCCGGAGAUGGGUACUGAGACACGGACCCAGGCCCUAUGGGGCGCAGCAGGCGAGAAAACUUUGCAAUGUGCGAAAGCACGACAAGGUUAAUCCGAGUGAUUUCUGCUAAAGGAAUCUUUUGCCAGUUCUAAAAAUACUAGUGAAUAAGGGGUGGGCAAGUUCUGGUGUCAGCCGCCGCGGUAAAACCAGCACCUCAAGUGGUCAGGAGGAUUAUUGGGCCUAAAGCAUCCGUAGCCUGCUCUGUAAGUUUUCGGUUAAAUCUAUAUGCUCAACGUAUAGGCUGCCGAAAAUACUGCAGUGCUAGGAAGUGGGAGAGGUAGACGGUACUUGAUAGGAAGGGGUAAAAUCCUUUGAUCUAUCGAUGACCACCUGUGGCGAAGGCGGUCUACCAGAACACGUUCGACGGUGAGGGAUGAAAGCUGGGGGAGCAAACCGGAUUAGAUACCCGGGUAGUCCCAGCUGUAAACGAUGCAGACUCGAUGAUGCAAUGGCAUAGAGCUAUUGCAGUAUCGCAGGGAAGCCGUUAAGUCUGCCGCCUGGGAAGUACGUACGCAAGUAUGAAACUUAAAGGAAUUGGCGGGGGAGCACCACAAGGGGUGAAGCCUGCGGUUCAAUUGGAUUCAACGCCGGG